Molecule: ribosomal RNA, 856 nt
Filed under: uncultured Achromobacter sp.
Lineage: Bacteria; Pseudomonadati; Pseudomonadota; Betaproteobacteria; Burkholderiales; Alcaligenaceae
Description: bacterial SSU rRNA
Rfam family: Bacterial small subunit ribosomal RNA
Source: RNAcentral
GGGUGAGUAAUGUAUCGGAACGUGCCCAGUAGCGGGGGAUAACUACGCGAAAGCGUAGCUAAUAGCGCAUACGCCCUACGGGGGAAAGCAGGGGAUCGCAAGACCUUGCACUAUUGGAGCGGCCGAUAUCGGAUUAGCUAGUUGGUGGGGUAACGGCUCACCAAGGCGACGAUCCGUAGCUGGUUUGAGAGGACGACCAGACACACUGGGACUGAGACACGGGCCAGACUCCUACGGGAGGCAGCAGUGGGGAAUUUUGGACAAUGGGGGAAACCCUGAUCCAGCCAUCCCGCGUGUGCGAUGAAGGCCUUCGGGUUGUAAAGCACUUUUGGCAGGAAAGAAACGUCGCGGGUUAAUACCUCGCGAAACUGACGGUACCUGCGGAAUAAACACCGGCUAACUACGUGCCAGCAGCCGCGGUAAUACGUAGGGUGCAAGCGUUAAUCGGAAUUACUGGGCGUAAAGCGUGCGCAGGCGGUUCGGAAAGAAAGAUGUGAAAUCCCAGAGCUUAACUUUGGAACUGCAUUUUUAACUACCGGGCUAGAGUGUGUCAGAGGGAGGUGGAAUUCCGCGUGUAGCAGUGAAAUGCGUAGAUAUGCGGAGGAACACCGAUGGCGAAGUCAGCCUCCUGGGAUAACACUGACGCUCAUGCACGAAAGCGUGGGGAGCAAACAGGAUUAGAUACCCUGGUAGUCCACGCCCUAAACGAUGUCAACUAGCUGUUGGGGCCUUCGGGCCUUGGUAGCGCAGCUAACGCGUGAAGUUGACCGCCUGGGGAGUACGGUCGCAAGAUUAAAACUCAAAGGAAUUGACGGGGACCCGCACAAGCGGUGGAUGAUGUGGAUUAAUUCGAUGC